This 122-nucleotide microRNA precursor is filed under the name Sorghum bicolor (sorghum). RNAcentral's name for it is "mir-166 microRNA precursor family". It matches the Rfam family "mir-166 microRNA precursor family". Rfam says of the family: This family represents the plant microRNA (miRNA) precursor mir-166. Animal miRNAs are transcribed as ~70nt precursors and subsequently processed by the Dicer enzyme to give a ~22nt product. Lineage: Eukaryota; Viridiplantae; Streptophyta; Magnoliopsida; Poales; Poaceae. The record is from Rfam by way of RNAcentral.
GUUAAUGGGGUUGUUGUCUGGUUCAAGGUCGCCACAGCAGACAAAGCCCAUUUUGCUUAGCAUGCAGCAUGGGUUUAUCUCUAUUGAUGAUCGAUCUCGGACCAGGCUUCAAUCCCUUUAAC